UACAGAGGUCCCAAGCGUUGUUCGGAUUCAUUGGGCGUAAAGGGUGCGUAGGUGGCGCGCUAAGUCGGGUGUGAAAUUUCGGAGCUUAACUCCGAAACUGCAUUCGAUACUGGUGUGCUCGAGGACUGGAGAGGAGACUGGAAUUCAUGGUGUAGCAGUGAAAUGCGUAGAGAUCAUGAGGAAGACCAGUGGCGAAGGCGGGUCUCUGGACAGUUCCCGACACUGAGACACGAAGGCCAGGGGAGCAAACGGG
This 253-nucleotide ribosomal RNA is filed under the name uncultured bacterium. Its description in RNAcentral is "partial 16S ribosomal RNA". It matches the Rfam family "Bacterial small subunit ribosomal RNA", at positions 524 to 776 of the family's 1533-position model. The record is from RNAcentral.